Non-coding RNA from Oryza glumipatula, 205 nucleotides. Lineage: Eukaryota; Viridiplantae; Streptophyta; Magnoliopsida; Poales; Poaceae. The record is from Rfam.
UUUAUACGUAGCAUGAGUUUUCGUGUUCAAUUUUAAUCGUCCGUCUUAUUUAAAAUAUUUUUAUGAUUAGUAUUUUUGUUAUUAUUAGAUGAUAAAAUAUAAAUAGUUUUUUUAUGUAUGACUUAUGUUUUUAAAUUUAUUUUAAAAUUUUUUUAAUAAAACAGACGAUUAAAUUUAAGCACGGAAAAUCAUGGCUGGAUUUAAA